This is an RNA transcript of Lolium perenne, 1796 nucleotides long. It is a transcript of the gene named glycerol-3-phosphate dehydrogenase [NAD(+)], chloroplastic, with no coding region annotated. The record is from RefSeq and is a predicted model, not a curated record. Lineage: Eukaryota; Viridiplantae; Streptophyta; Magnoliopsida; Poales; Poaceae.
UGGGAACGGAUAAGAUAACAAAACACCUUGCAUUCCUUUGGCCACUUCCCUUCCGAUGGCCACCGCCGCCUUCCUUGCCCCAAGCCCAACCCCUCGCUCUCGCAUCACCACCGCUCGCCACUGCCUCCUGCCCAUCUGCACUGCAGCCACCGGCGCGCCACCUCCAGAUGCCGAGACGGACGAGGAUGCCCCGCGGAUCGCCCGGAAGGACCGGCGCCGCAUUGUGCGGAUCGCGUGGGAGAAGCUCGUCCGGUGGUCUCGCUCCUGGCGCCGGCGCAACCGCAGCGACGUCCUCGAGACCACUCGGAAGGUGGUGGUUCUCGGAGGCGGCUCGUUCGGGACUGCCAUGGCGGCGCAGGUGGCAGCCAAGAAGCCCGACCUAGAGGUGGCCAUGCUGCUCCGUGACGAGCUUGUCUGCCGCUCCAUCAACCGCCACCAUGUCAAUUGCAAAUACUUAUCAGAGUACAGGUUGCCAGGAAACAUUGUUGCAACAACUAGUGCUAGUGAUGCUUUAGCAGGAGCUGAUUUCUGCUUCCAUGCUGUCCCUGUUCAGUUCAGUUCAUCCUUUCUUCGGAGUAUUUCAACACAUGUUGAUCCGAAGUUGCCAUUCAUAUCACUUAGCAAAGGGCUGGAACUUAACACCCUUCGUACAAUGUCUCAAAUCAUUCCUCGAGCAUUGGGAAAUCCUCGCCAACCAUUUGUUGUUUUGUCAGGACCUUCUUUUGCGGUAGAACUGAUGGACAGACUGCCAACAGCUAUGGUGGUCGCAUCCAAAGACAAAAAGCUGGCAAGUGCUGUUCAGCAGCUCUUGGCGUCUUCAAAUUUGAGGAUAAGCACAUCAAGUGACGUUACAGGGGUAGAAAUUGCGGGCGCACUUAAGAAUGUUCUUGCAAUAGCAGCAGGUAUAGUAGAAGGUAUGCACCUGGGAAAUAAUUGUAUGGCUGCCCUUGUUGCUCAAGGCUGUUCUGAAAUUCGGUGGUUGGCGACAAAGAUGGGAGCAAAGCCAACAACCCUUGCUGGUCUAUCUGGCUCGGGUGAUAUCAUGCUUACAUGUUUUGUCAGUCUUUCACGGAAUAGAAACGUGGGAUUACGUCUUGGUUCAGGCGAAAAACUUGAUGAAAUCUUAAAUUCGAUGAAUCAGGUUGCUGAAGGUGUGUCAACUGCUGGUGCUGUCAUCGCAUUGGCUCAGAAGUACAAUGUAAAACUACCAGUCUUGACAGCAGUAGCUCGGAUAAUUGACAAUGAGUUAACUCCAAAGAAGGCUGUUAUGGAGUUAAUGAAUCUUCCACAGGUGGAGGAAGUCUGACAGGAAUCAGUCCAACUGAAUCUAUCCGUUGAACCUGUUGCACCGCCAGAUCUGUCUUUUUAUAUUGUGGAGGAAGUCUGACAAGAAUCAGUCCAAAUGAAUCGACCCACUGAUCCUGUUGCUCCGCCAGACUCCCCCCACAUGUGUAUCUCCUACAUCGGAUCAUCUAUAUUUUCAAGGGAAGCUCUCCUUCAGUCCAUUGCUUUCACGGAUAUCAACAGAAUUUUGCACUCAUACGAAGUUGUUAUGCUCUCUGGCGCAUCCUUGUGCACAAGUACAGAGAAAGGAUAUACAUUACAGAUUUACAGGGAAGAAAUUAAAUAGGGACAUUGUAGCAUGUUUCGUUGUAGGUUGCACUGCUUUUAGAAUGAGUUGAUCAAGGGAUGCGGAUCAGUUGUUCUUUUCUUGUGCAUGGCAUGGAUUGGUUGUUCAUAUUCAUGUCAUGACCUGAGUUUUUUUUUCUUUUGAUGAAACUUUGAAAGUAGGCAAA